Molecule: non-coding RNA, 26 nt
Filed under: Oryctolagus cuniculus (rabbit)
Lineage: Eukaryota; Metazoa; Chordata; Mammalia; Lagomorpha; Leporidae
Also listed under: 2 other names
Source: RNAcentral
UAGUGAGUUAUCUCAAUUGAUUGUUC